Molecule: ribosomal RNA, 822 nt
Filed under: uncultured bacterium
Lineage: Bacteria
Description: bacterial SSU rRNA
Rfam family: Bacterial small subunit ribosomal RNA
Source: RNAcentral
UGAUUGGUGCUUGCAUCAUGAUUUACAUUUGAGCGAGUGGCGAACUGGUGAGUAACACGUGGGAAACCUGCCCAGAAGCGGGGGAUAACACCUGGAAACAGAUGCUAAUACCGCAUAACAACUUGGACCGCAUGGUCCGAGUUUGAAAGAUGGCUUCGGCUAUCACUUUUGGAUGGUCCCGCGGCGUAUUAGCUAGAUGGUGAGGUAACGGCUCACCAUGGCAAUGAUACGUAGCCGACCUGAGAGGGUAAUCGGCCACAUUGGGACUGAGACACGGCCCAAACUCCUACGGGAGGCAGCAGUAGGGAAUCUUCCACAAUGGACGAAAGUCUGAUGGAGCAACGCCGCGUGAGUGAAGAAGGGUUUCGGCUCGUAAAACUCUGUUGUUAAAGAAGAACAUAUCUGAGAGUAACUGUUCAGGUAUUGACGGUAUUUAACCAGAAAGCCACGGCUAACUACGUGCCAGCAGCCGCGGUAAUACGUAGGUGGCAAGCGUUGUCCGGAUUUAUUGGGCGUAAAGCGAGCGCAGGCGGUUUUUUAAGUCUGAUGUGAAAGCCUUCGGCUCAACCGAAGAAGUGCAUCGGAAACUGGGAAACUUGAGUGCAGAAGAGGACAGUGGAACUCCAUGUGUAGCGGUGAAAUGCGUAGAUAUAUGGAAGAACACCAGUGGCGAAGGCGGCUGUCUGGUCUGUAACUGACGCUGAGGCUCGAAAGUAUGGGUAGCAAACAGGAUUAGAUACCCUGGUAGUCCAUACCGUAAACGAUGAAUGCUAAGUGUUGGAGGGUUUCCGCCCUUCAGUGCUGCAGCUAACGCAUUAAGCA